GCGUAAAGGGCGCGUAGGCGGAUUAGUAAGUAAAAGUGAAAUCCCAAGGCUCACCCUUGGAAUUGCUUUAAAACUGCUAAUCUAGAGAUUGAAAGAGGAUAGAGGAAUUCCUAGUGUAGAGGUGAAAUUCGUAAAUAUUAGGAGGAACACCAGUGGCGAAGGCGUCUAUCUGGUUCAAAUCUGACGCUGAGGCGCGAAGGCGUGGGGAGCAAACAGGAUUAGAUACCCUGGUAGUCCACGCUGUAAACGAUGAAUGUUAAAUAUGGGAAGUUUUGCUUUCUGUAUUACAGCUAACGCGUUAAACAUUCCGCCUGGGGACUACGGUCGCAAGAUUAAAACUCAAAGGAAUUGACGGGGACCCGCACAAGCGGUGGAGCAUGUGGUUUAAUUCGAUGCAACGCGAAAAACCUUACCACUCCUUGACAUGGAAAUUAUACCUAUUCGAAGGGAUAGGGUCGGUUCGGCCGGGUUUCACACAGGUGUUGCAUGGCUGUCGUCAGCUCGUGUCGUGAGAUGUUGGGUUAAGUCCCGCAACGAGCGCAACCCUCAUCCUUAGUUACCAUCAGGUAAUGCUGGGGACUUUAAGGAAACUGCCAGUGAUAAACUGGAGGAAGGUGGGGAUGAUGUCAAGUCAUCAUGGCCCUUAUGGAGUGGGCUACACACGUGCUACAAUGGUGGCUACAAUGGGCUGCAAAGUCGCGAGGCUAAGCUAAUCCCUUAAAAGCCAUCUCAGUUCGGAUUGUACUCUGCAACUCGAGUGCAUGAAGUUGGAAUCGCUAGUAAUCGUGGAUCAGCACGCCACGGUGAAUACGUUCUCGGGUCUUGUACACACUGCCCGUCACGCCAUGGGAAUUGGUUUCACUCGAAGCUAACGACCUAACCGCAAGGAGGGAGUUAUUUAAAGUGGGAUCGGUGACUGGGGUGAAGUCGUAACAAGGUAGCAGUAGGGGAAUCUGCGGCUGGAUCA
This 967-nucleotide ribosomal RNA is filed under the name uncultured bacterium. RNAcentral's name for it is "bacterial SSU rRNA". It matches the Rfam family "Bacterial small subunit ribosomal RNA", at positions 558 to 1525 of the family's 1533-position model. The record is from RNAcentral.